AGAACGAACGCUGGCGGCAGGCUUAACACAUGCAAGUCGAACGCUCGGAGCAAUCCGGGAGUGGCAGACGGGUGAGUAACGCGUGGGAAUAUACCCUUCGGUUCGGAAUAACUUGGGGAAACUCAAGCUAAUACCGAAUACGGCCUAUGGGCGAAAGAUUGAUCGCCGAAGGAAUAGCCCGCGUCCGAUUAGCUAGUUGGUGAGGUAAUGGCUCACCAAGGCGACGAUCGGUAGCUGGUCUGAGAGGAUGACCAGCCACAUUGGGACUGAGACACGGCCCAAACUCCUACGGGAGGCAGCAGUGGGGAAUUUGCGCAAUGGGGGAAACCCUGACGCAGCAACGCCGCGUGGAGGAUGAAGCCCCUUGGGGCGUAAACUCCUUUCGACCAAGACGAUAAUGACGGUACUGGUGGAAGAAGCACCGGCUAACUCUGUGCCAGCAGCCGC
This 447-nucleotide ribosomal RNA is filed under the name uncultured bacterium. RNAcentral's name for it is "SSU rRNA". It matches the Rfam family "Bacterial small subunit ribosomal RNA", at positions 26 to 518 of the family's 1533-position model. The record is from RNAcentral.